GGUUUGAGAGGAUUUGAUAAAUAUGAAGAUUGAUAAAAGAAUUAGGAUUGAAAGUUAUGUAUUUUAUAAAAUUAUGACUGAACUACUUGAACGACUACUACUGAACUAAACUAACGAAACUACUGAACGACUAUUUUAUACUGAAGAUCUGGUAUGUUAACAACAGAUCUUCAAAGCCAAACCGAAAAUUUUUUAUUAGCUUGUUUUUUGUGUUUUUAUUUUGUUUCCCGAACUGAUCUCUGUUUACAACAGAUCUUAAAUCAUAAGAAAAAGUCAUCAGAUUUACUAGGCAGAAAUGCUAUGACUUUUCAUCCAGAGGAAUGGAUUGAAUUUGAUCCACUCUUCAGAAAAUUUAUAUGAAGGAUUCAGGCCUGAUUCACUAGUCUCCAUCCUUUCUAGUCUAGCUUCAUUCCUGUGGCCAGCUUGUAAUUGAGCCUUAAAUGGCCUGCCAUUUAAUAAUCAGCAAAUAAUUAGGAAGUUUUGUUAAAAAAAUACACAAUGCUUAUUGGCCUUUCAAAAAUAUAUUAAUACUAAUGAAUUUAAUUUUCUAAUAAAUGAGUCAUUACUUUUGCAAUUUAUAAAAUGUUAUAUUAGUGUAUUGGAAAUAUACAGAUUUUACAUGAUAAUUAUUAAAUUUAUUA
RNAcentral lists this long non-coding RNA (641 nucleotides) under Androctonus crassicauda. The record is from RNAcentral. Lineage: Eukaryota; Metazoa; Arthropoda; Arachnida; Scorpiones; Buthidae.